Molecule: ribosomal RNA, 480 nt
Filed under: uncultured bacterium
Lineage: Bacteria
Description: partial 16S ribosomal RNA
Rfam family: Bacterial small subunit ribosomal RNA
Source: RNAcentral
UUGAACGCUGGCGGCAUGCCUUACACAUGCAAGUCGAACGGUAACGGGCCUUCGGGUGCCGACGAGUGGCGACCGGGUGAGUAAUACAUCGGAACGUGCCCGAUCGUGGGGGAUAACGAGGCGAAAGCUUUGCUAAUACCGCAUACGAUCUACGGAUGAAAGCAGGGGACCGCAAGGCCUUGCGCGGACGGAGCGGCCGAUGGCAGAUUAGGUAGUUGGUGGGAUAAAAGCUUACCAAGCCGACGAUCUGUAGCUGGUCUGAGAGGAUGAUCAGCCACACUGGGACUGAGACACGGCCCAGACUCCUACGGGAGGCAGCAGUGGGGAAUUUGGACAAUGGGCGCAAGCCUGAUCCAGCCAUGCCGCGUGCAGGAUGAAGGCCUUCGGGUUGUAAACUGCUUUUGUACGGAACGAAAAGCCUUCUUUUAAUACAGGAGGGUCAUGACGGUACCGUAAGAAUAAGCACCGGCUAACUACGUG